GUUCCUCCAAGGAGUCUCUAGCAACCCACUGGCGCUCUCCACAUAGCCCGGCCGGUUCCUUUGGUCUUCAAGGCUGAGUGGGGAGAUCAGCGGGUGGGGACUUCUGGGCUGGGUCUGGAGGGGUAGCGGCCCUGGCAGCCGCCUCUGUGGAUGGGAAAGCAGAGAGGAGAGGAAAGCCUUUCUUAUCUCAGUGCUCCCAGGCCAGAGCCCAAGGUUCAAGUGCCUCAGGCCCAGUCCCCUUGACUUCUGAUUGGGAAUUGAAUUUUAUACCACGGAUUUUAUAGCAUUUUUUAUAUAACUCAAGAUUGUCUGAGCUGGAAAGACCUUGGAGAUCAACCAGUACCUGCCCCCACCCCUUUCACAGUUAGGUAAGAUGGAGUCCAGGAACUGAAAGUAUCACACACCAGGUAGGAGCAGUACUAGGACUAGAAUAAAAACCUCAACUCCCAGUUCAGUCUUCUUUGCACUACACCACAUGGCCUCCCCAUCUCUGGUAAGUUACAUUUCUUUUACGGUUAGGCCUGCCGAAGGAUGGCGUGUGCAGCUGGGCUCUGCAGGCCCUCCCAGUGCAAUUGUGGGCUCCUGGGAGUGGCAAAGAGCAGCACACUCCUGGAACAAGUAUUUCAACAGGGCAGUUCUGCCACCAUUGGCUUCAGCUGGAGGGUGCCAGCAGCAGCUUUCCUGACCAUAACUGCAGAAGUAGGGCUGCCUGCCACCUAGCCCAAGGCCUCCCUGCUGAGCAAAGGCUCUGGCAUUGUUUUGUUGAUGCCACCAGGGGUUCAGGAAAUACUGCAUGGGCUGUCACUCGUCUGAAAAGUGAACUAGCAUGUUUGAACCUCCAGAUCCAGAAGGACUGCUCUGCCGCCUUUGCUACUCUAUUCAGAGACAGGCAGACUGGGGCAACUAUCAUAGUCAUCCACACCCUCUGCCGAAGUUCAGGUAAGCCAGGUGGAGAGCAGGGUGAGAGUGGUUUUUGCUCUCCAUAGGCAGGGAGAGGCCUUAGGAGGGCAGCAGUGGAUGUCUUCAUUGAGAAGCAGCCCCAAGCACUCCACUGGUUCUCAAAAGUAUAGCCAACAGAAAUUAGGAAGUUAGUAGAAAUGCAAAUUAUUGGGCGGCACCUUAUGGAUCAGAAACUGGCGUGGAGCCUAGGAAUCUGUUUUGCUAAGCCCUCCAGUGGUCACGAGGCACGCUGAAGUUCUGAGCACCAGUGAACUACGCAGUGGCACUGUAGUCAUCACUACUUUGCAGCCUCUUGAGUUAAGUCAGGAGAUGAGGUGGUUCUCAUCUCUAGGUGCCUCCUCCUUGCCUUGGGAGUCUGAAC
RNAcentral lists this long non-coding RNA (1321 nucleotides) under Capra hircus (goat). Its description in RNAcentral is "lncRNA (ENSCHIG00010019160.1)". Lineage: Eukaryota; Metazoa; Chordata; Mammalia; Artiodactyla; Bovidae. The record is from RNAcentral.